AUACGGAGGACGCGAGCGUUAUCCGGAUUCAUUGGGUUUAAAGGGUGCGCAGGCGGCCGUGCAAGUCAGCGGUGAAAGUCCGGGGCUCAACCCCGGAAGUGCCGUUGAUACUGCAUGGCUGGAAUGCGGUCAAGGCGGGCGGAACGUGGCGUGUAGCGGUGAAAUGCGUAGAUAUGCCACAGAACGCCGAGGGCGGAGGCGGCCCGCGCGGCUGGCAUUGACGCUGGGGCACGAAAGCGUGGGGAGCAAACAGGAUGAGAGCCCCUGGUAGCCCACGCCGUAAACGAUGGGCGCUCGUCGUCGGCGGCAGACAGUCGGCGGCCAAGCGAAAGCGAUAAGCGCCCCACCUGGGGAGUACGGUCGCAAGGCUGAAACUCAAAUGAAUUGACGGGG
This 393-nucleotide ribosomal RNA is filed under the name uncultured bacterium. Its description in RNAcentral is "partial 16S ribosomal RNA". It matches the Rfam family "Bacterial small subunit ribosomal RNA", at positions 523 to 918 of the family's 1533-position model. The record is from RNAcentral.